RNAcentral lists this ribosomal RNA (569 nucleotides) under Salmonella enterica. RNAcentral's name for it is "partial 16S ribosomal RNA". It matches the Rfam family "Bacterial small subunit ribosomal RNA", at positions 1 to 559 of the family's 1533-position model. The record is from RNAcentral. Lineage: Bacteria; Pseudomonadati; Pseudomonadota; Gammaproteobacteria; Enterobacterales; Enterobacteriaceae. RNAcentral also lists the same sequence under 1 other name.
AAAUUGAAGAGUUUGAUCAUGGCUCAGAUUGAACGCUGGCGGCAGGCCUAACACAUGCAAGUCGAACGGUAACAGGAAGCAGCUUGCUGCUUCGCUGACGAGUGGCGGACGGGUGAGUAAUGUCUGGGAAACUGCCUGAUGGAGGGGGAUAACUACUGGAAACGGUGGCUAAUACCGCAUAACGUCGCAAGACCAAAGAGGGGGACCUUCGGGCCUCUUGCCAUCAGAUGUGCCCAGAUGGGAUUAGCUUGUUGGUGAGGUAACGGCUCACCAAGGCGACGAUCCCUAGCUGGUCUGAGAGGAUGACCAGCCACACUGGAACUGAGACACGGUCCAGACUCCUACGGGAGGCAGCAGUGGGGAAUAUUGCACAAUGGGCGCAAGCCUGAUGCAGCCAUGCCGCGUGUAUGAAGAAGGCCUUCGGGUUGUAAAGUACUUUCAGCGGGGAGGAAGGUGUUGUGGUUAAUAACCGCAGCAAUUGACGUUACCCGCAGAAGAAGCACCGGCUAACUCCGUGCCAGCAGCCGCGGUAAUACGGAGGGUGCAAGCGUUAAUCGGAAUUACUGGGC